Molecule: ribosomal RNA, 253 nt
Filed under: uncultured bacterium
Lineage: Bacteria
Description: partial 16S ribosomal RNA
Rfam family: Bacterial small subunit ribosomal RNA
Source: RNAcentral
UACAGGGGGGGCAAGCGUUGUUCGGAAUUACUGGGCGUAAAGGGCUUGUAGGCGGCCAACUAAGUCACACGUAAAAUCCCCAGGCUUAACCUGGGAACUGCGUGUGAUACUGGAUGGCUUGAAUUCGGGAGAGGGAUGCAGAAUUCCAGGUGUAGCGGUGAAAUGCGUAGAUAUCUGGAGGAAUACCGGUGGCGAAGGCGGCAUCCUGGACCGACAUUGACGCUGAGGAGCGAAAGCUAGGGGAGCGAACAGG